GUUUGAUUUUUGUAGUUCGUGUCUAUUAGUUAUGGACUUGGACUUAUCUUUAACUGAAUACCAAAUGCACGUUGAUCUUUCUAAAGUUUUCUCUACAGACAACUUGCUUAACUAUGAUCCAUGCACUCAACUUGAAUCUUUCUCUUCUGACGGGGAAGUCACAGUUUCAAAACAAUUACGAGCAGAGGAAAAAUUUAAAACUUUAUUAGAAAACGUGGAACGACUUAUACAAGUAAAGGUUAAAAUACUUCCUCUUUUUAACGAUAAAAUUAAAGCUUUAGAAAGAGAAAGGAAUUUAUGUGAAAUUUUACUAGAGUGAUAUA
Molecule: long non-coding RNA, 323 nt
Organism: Zophobas morio
Lineage: Eukaryota; Metazoa; Arthropoda; Insecta; Coleoptera; Tenebrionidae
Exons: 4
Source: RefSeq, a predicted model, not a curated record